UCCCUGGUGGCUCAGACAGUAAAAAAUCUGCCUGCAAUGCAGGAGACCCAGGUUCAAUCCCUGGUCAGGAAG
Molecule: transfer RNA, 72 nt
Filed under: Capra hircus (goat)
Lineage: Eukaryota; Metazoa; Chordata; Mammalia; Artiodactyla; Bovidae
Also listed under: 1 other name
Rfam family: tRNA
About the family: Transfer RNA (tRNA) molecules are approximately 80 nucleotides in length.
Source: Rfam by way of RNAcentral